GAUGAACGCUGGCGGCGUGCCUAACACAUGCAAGUCGAACGGAGUCCCGCUUUUAAGACCUUCGGGUCAAAGAGGGGAAGACUGAGUGGCGGACGGGUGAGUAACACGUGGGCAACCUGGCUCAUAGAGGGGGAUAACAGAGAGAAAUUUCUGCUAAUACCGCACAAGCACACACUGCCGCAUGGCAGAGGGUGAAAAGCGAAUCGCUAUGAGAUGGACCCGCUUCUGAUUGGCCAGUUGGCAGGGUAAGAGCCUAGCAACGCGACGAAGAGUAGCCGAUCUGGGAGGAUGAACGACCAGGAUGGAGCUGAGACACAGACCCAACUCCGACGGAAGGCAGCAGUGUAGGAUAUUGCACGAUGAAGCGAGCCCUGAUGCAGCGACGCCGCGUAAGUGAAGAAGUAUUUCGGUAUGUAAAGCUCUAUCAGCAGAGGAGAUAAUGACGGUACCUGAAUAAGAAGCCCCGGCUAACUACGUG
RNAcentral lists this ribosomal RNA (478 nucleotides) under uncultured bacterium. RNAcentral describes it as "partial 16S ribosomal RNA". It matches the Rfam family "Bacterial small subunit ribosomal RNA", at positions 28 to 507 of the family's 1533-position model. The record is from RNAcentral.